This 523-nucleotide ribosomal RNA is filed under the name Boophis tasymena. RNAcentral describes it as "partial 12S ribosomal RNA". The stretch from base 1 to 451 matches the Rfam family "Bacterial small subunit ribosomal RNA", at positions 892 to 1533 of the family's 1533-position model. Lineage: Eukaryota; Metazoa; Chordata; Amphibia; Anura; Mantellidae. The record is from RNAcentral.
ACUUAAAAUCCAAAGGACUUGACGGUGUCCCACCCCCCUAGAGGAGCCUGUUCUAUAAUCGAUGACCCCCGCUAUACCUCACCACCCCUCGCCUCAUACAGCCUGUAUACCUCCGUCGCAAGCUUGCCAUAUGAAUGACCCUUAGCAAGCUCAAUGACCAUGCCCCGUCAUUACGUCAGGUCAAGGUGCAGCCCACGGGGUGGGACACAAUGGGCUACAAUUUCUAACUUAGAACAAACGGAUAUCUAUCUGAAAACAUAGACAUGAAGGUGGAUUUAGCAGUAAAAGGGAAAAAUAGUGUCCCCUUUAACAGCGGCCCUGGGACGCGUACAAACCGCCCGUCACCCUCUUCGAUAACGUACCAACAGUUAAUAACAAUUUUAUGCACUUUAGAAGAGGCAAGUCGUAACACGGUAAGCGUACUGGAAAGUGCGCUUAGAUAAACGAAAUGUAGCUUAGUAAAGCCCUCCGCUUACACCGGAAAGACAUCUGUUAGCGCAGAUCAUUUUGAGCCUAAAAUCUA